Halococcus saccharolyticus DSM 5350 is the source of this 84-nucleotide transfer RNA. It matches the Rfam family "tRNA". Rfam says of the family: Transfer RNA (tRNA) molecules are approximately 80 nucleotides in length. Their secondary structure includes four short double-helical elements and three loops (D, anti-codon, and T loops). The record is from Rfam. Lineage: Archaea; Methanobacteriati; Methanobacteriota; Halobacteria; Halobacteriales; Halococcaceae.
GCGAGGGUAGCCAAGUCUGGAAACGGCGGCGGAUUCAAGCUCCGCUCCUGUAGAGGUCCACGGGUUCAAAUCCUGUCCCUCGCA